Anaerococcus prevotii ACS-065-V-Col13 is the source of this 112-nucleotide regulatory RNA element. It matches the Rfam family "FMN riboswitch aptamer (RFN element)". Rfam says of the family: The RFN element is a highly conserved domain that is found frequently in the 5'-untranslated regions of prokaryotic mRNAs that encode for flavin mononucleotide (FMN) biosynthesis and transport proteins. Lineage: Bacteria; Bacillati; Bacillota; Tissierellia; Tissierellales; Peptoniphilaceae. The record is from Rfam.
GUUAAUCUUCAGGGCGGAGUGCAAGUCUCCACCGGCAGUAAAGUCUGCGAGCGUAAGCUGAAUCGGUGAAAUUCCGAUACCGACAGUAUAGUCUGGAUGAAAGAAGAGUUUU